GACGAACGCUGGCGGCGUGCCUAAUACAUGCAAGUCGAGCGGACUUAAAAAGCUUGCUUUUUAAGUUAGCGGCGGACGGGUGAGUAACACGUGGGCAACCUGCCUGUAAGACUGGGAUAACUUCGGGAAACCGGAGCUAAUACCGGAUAAUCCUUUUCUACUCAUGUAGAAAAGCUGAAAGACGGUUUACGCUGUCACUUACAGAUGGGCCCGCGGCGCAUUAGCUAGUUGGUGAGGUAACGGCUCACCAAGGCGACGAUGCGUAGCCGACCUGAGAGGGUGAUCGGCCACACGGGGACUGAGACACGGCCCAGACUCCUACGGGAGGCAGCAGUAGGGAAUCUUCCGCAAUGGACGAAAGUCUGACGGAGCAACGCCGCGUGAGUGAUGAAGGUUUUCGGAUCGUAAAACUCUGUUGUUAGGGAAGAACAAGUACGAGAGUAACUGCUCGUACCUUGACGGUACCUAACCAGAAAGCCACGGCUAACUACGUG
This 494-nucleotide ribosomal RNA is filed under the name uncultured bacterium. RNAcentral describes it as "partial 16S ribosomal RNA". It matches the Rfam family "Bacterial small subunit ribosomal RNA", at positions 28 to 507 of the family's 1533-position model. The record is from RNAcentral.